CUACGUGCCAGCAGCCGCGGUAAUACGUAGGGCGCGAGCGUUGUCCGGAAUUAUUGGGCGUAAAGAGCUUGUAGGCGGUUUGUCGCGUCUGCUGUGAAAGGCCGGGGCUUAACCCCGUGUAUUGCAGUGGGUACGGGCAGACUAGAGUGCAGUAGGGGAGACUGGAAUUCCUGGUGUAGCGGUGGAAUGCGCAGAUAUCAGGAGGAACACCGAUGGCGAAGGCAGGUCUCUGGGCUGUAACUGACGCUGAGAAGCGAAAGCAUGGGGAGCGAACAGGAUUAGAUACCCUGGUAGUCCAUGCCGUAAACGUUGGGCACUAGGUGUGGGGGACAUUCCACGUCUUCCGCGCCGUAGCUAACGCAUUAAGUGCCCCGCCUGGGGAGUACGGCCGCAAGGCUAAAACUCAAAGAAAUUGACGGGGGCCCGCACAAGCGGCGGAGCAUGCGGAUUAAUUCGAUGCAACGCGAAGAACCUUACCAAGGCU
RNAcentral lists this ribosomal RNA (484 nucleotides) under uncultured bacterium. RNAcentral describes it as "bacterial SSU rRNA". It matches the Rfam family "Bacterial small subunit ribosomal RNA", at positions 501 to 981 of the family's 1533-position model. The record is from RNAcentral.